This 468-nucleotide ribosomal RNA is filed under the name uncultured bacterium. Its description in RNAcentral is "partial 16S ribosomal RNA". It matches the Rfam family "Bacterial small subunit ribosomal RNA", at positions 28 to 507 of the family's 1533-position model. The record is from RNAcentral.
GACGAACGCUGGCGGCGUGCUUAACACAUGCGAGUCGAACGGAAAGGCCCUGCGUUUGUGGGGUGCUCGAGUGGCGAACGGGCGAGUAACACGUGAGUAACCUGCCCUUGACUUUGGGAUAACUUCAGGAAACUGGGGCUAAUACCGGAUAGGAGCUCCUGCUGCAUGGGGGGGGUUGGAAAGUUUCGGCGGUUGGGGAUGGACUCGCGGCUUAUCAGCUUGUUGGUGGGGUAGUGGAUUACCAAGGCUUUGACGGGUAGCCGGCCUGAGAGGGUGACCGGCCACAUUGGGACUCAGGUACGGCCCAGACUGCUACGGGAGGCAGCAGUGGGGAAUAUUGCACGAUGGGCGGAAGCCUGAUGCAGCAACGCCGCGUGCGGGAUGACGGCCUUCGGGUUGUAACCCGCUUUCGCCUGUGACGAAGCGUGAGUGACGGUAAUGGGUAAAGAAGCACCGGCUAACUACGUG